GAUGAACGCUGGCGGCGUGCCUAAUACAUGCAGGUCGAGCGAACAGAUGAGGAGCUUGCUCCUCUGACGUUAGCGGCGGACGGGUGAGUAACACGUGGAUAACCUACCUAUAAGACUGGGAUAACUACGGGAAACCGGAGCUAAUACCGGAUAAUAUAUUGAACCGCAUGGUUCAAUAGUGAAAGACGGUUUUGCUGUCACUUAUAGAUGGAUCCGCGCCGCAUUAGCUAGUUGGUAAGGUAACGGCUUACCAAGGCAACGAUGCGUAGCCGACCUGAGAGGGUGAUCGGCCACACUGGAACUGAGACACGGUCCAGACUCCUACGGGAGGCAGCAGUAGGGAAUCUUCCGCAAUGGGCGAAAGCCUGACGGAGCAACGCCGCGUGAGUGAUGAAGGUCUUCGGAUCGUAAAACUCUGUUAUUGGGGAAGAACAAAUGUGUAAGUAACUAUGCACGUCUUGACGGUACCUAAUCAGAAAGCCACGGCUAACUACGUG
RNAcentral lists this ribosomal RNA (497 nucleotides) under uncultured bacterium. RNAcentral describes it as "partial 16S ribosomal RNA". It matches the Rfam family "Bacterial small subunit ribosomal RNA", at positions 28 to 507 of the family's 1533-position model. The record is from RNAcentral.